UGGAUCCAGACUUUGAUUCUGGCUCAGGAUGAACGCUGGCGGCGUGCCUAACACAUGCAAGUCGAACGAAGCUUGACGGAUGAUUUCUUCGGAAUGAAACCUGAUAUGACUUAGUGGCGGACGGGUGAGUAACACGUGAGCAACCUGCCUUUCAGAGGGGGAUAACGGCUGGAAACGGUCGCUAAUACCGCAUGACGUGUUCGGAUGGCAUCAUCUGAACAUCAAAGAUUUAUCGCUGAAAGAUGGGCUCGCGUCUGAUUAGAUAGUUGGUGGGGUAGCGGCCUACCAAGUCUACGAUCAGUAGCCGGACUGAGAGGUUGAACGGCCACAUUGGGACUGAGAUACGGCCCAGACUCCUACGGGAGGCAGCAGUGGGGAAUAUUGCACAAUGGGGGAAACCCUGAUGCAGCAACGCCGCGUGAAGGAUGACGGUUUUCGGAUUGUAAACUUCUUUUCUUAGUGACGAAGACAGUGACGCUAGCUAAGGAAUAAGCAUCGGCUAACUACGUGCCAGCAGCCGCGGUAAUACGUAGGAUGCAAGCGUUAUCCGGAUUUACUGGGUGUAAAGGGAGCGCAGGCGGGACUGCAAGUUGGAUGUGAAAUACCGUGGCUUAACCACGGAACUGCAUCCAAAACUGUAGUUCUUGAGUGAAGUAGAGGCAAGCGGAAUUCCGAGUGUAGCGGUGAAAUGCGUAGAUAUUCGGAGGAACACCAGUGGCGAAGGCGGCUUGCUGGGCUUUAACUGACGCUGAGGCUCGAAAGUGUGGGGAGCAAACAGGAUUAGAUACCCUGGUAGUCCACACUGUAAACGAUGAUAGCUAGGUGUGGGGGGUCUGACCCCUUCCGUGCCGGAGUUAACGCAAUAAGCUAUCCACCUGGGGAGUACGACCGCAAGGUUGCAACUCAAAUGAAUUGACGGA
RNAcentral lists this ribosomal RNA (920 nucleotides) under uncultured Bacillota bacterium. RNAcentral describes it as "bacterial SSU rRNA". It matches the Rfam family "Bacterial small subunit ribosomal RNA", at positions 1 to 917 of the family's 1533-position model. Lineage: Bacteria; Bacillati; Bacillota. The record is from RNAcentral.